Molecule: unclassified non-coding RNA, 292 nt
Filed under: uncultured Chitinophagaceae bacterium
Lineage: Bacteria; Pseudomonadati; Bacteroidota; Chitinophagia; Chitinophagales; Chitinophagaceae
Description: contains 16S-23S intergenic spacer region
Source: RNAcentral
GGACUACAGGGGUAUCUAAUCCUGUUUGAUCCCCACGCUUUCGUGCCUCAGCGUCAAUAUAUGCGUAGUAAGCUGCCUUCGCAAUAGGUGUUCUAUGUCAUAUCUAAGCAUUUCACCGCUACAUGACAUAUUCCGCUUACCUCCACAAUAUUCAAGACAGAUAGUAUCAAUGGCAGUUCUAGAGUUGAGCUCUAGGAUUUCACCACUGACUUACCUGCCCGCCUACGCACCCUUUAAACCCAGUGAAUCCGGAUAACGCUUGCACCCUCCGUAUUACCGCGGCUGCUGGCAC